GACGAACGCUGGUGGCGUGCUUAACACAUGCAAGUCGAACGGAAAGGCCCUGCUUUUGUGGGGUGCUCGAGUGGCGAACGGGUGAGUAACACGUGAGUAACCUGCCCUUGACUUUGGGAUAACUUCAGGAAACUGGGGCUAAUACCGGAUAGGAGCUCCUGCUGCAUGGUGGGGGUUGGAAAGUUUCGGCGGUUGGGGAUGGACUCGCGGCUUAUCAGCUUGUUGGUGGGGUAGUGGCUUACCAAGGCUUUGACGGGUAGCCGGCCUGAGAGGGUGACCGGCCACAUUGGGACUGAGAUACGGCCCAGACUCCUACGGGAGGCAGCAGUGGGGAAUAUUGCACAAUGGGCGGAAGCCUGAUGCAGCAACGCCGCGUGCGGGAUGACGGCCUUCGGGUUGUAAACCGCUUUCGCCUGUGACGAAGCGUGAGUGACGGUAAUGGGUAAAGAAGCACCGGCUAACUACGUG
This 468-nucleotide ribosomal RNA is filed under the name uncultured bacterium. Its description in RNAcentral is "partial 16S ribosomal RNA". It matches the Rfam family "Bacterial small subunit ribosomal RNA", at positions 28 to 507 of the family's 1533-position model. The record is from RNAcentral.